CCCUAGCCCUGAUGGAAACGGCAUCCUUUUUUGUGAUUGCGAUGGCGAAAAAGUUGUACAUAUAAUUUCGGUUCUAUCGCAAUUACAAAAAAGAUACAGUGGACAGCAGGUUCCCGG
This 117-nucleotide small RNA is filed under the name Chryseobacterium piscicola. RNAcentral describes it as "Flavo-1 RNA". It matches the Rfam family "Flavo-1 RNA". The record is from RNAcentral. Lineage: Bacteria; Pseudomonadati; Bacteroidota; Flavobacteriia; Flavobacteriales; Weeksellaceae.